This 469-nucleotide ribosomal RNA is filed under the name uncultured bacterium. Its description in RNAcentral is "partial 16S ribosomal RNA". It matches the Rfam family "Bacterial small subunit ribosomal RNA", at positions 28 to 507 of the family's 1533-position model. The record is from RNAcentral.
GGCGAACGCUGGCGGCGUGCUUAACACAUGCAAGUCGAACGAUGAAGCCUUAGCUUGCUUUGGUGGAUUAGUGGCGAACGGGUGAGUAACACGUGAGCAACGUGCCCAGGACUCUGGAAUAACCGCGGGAAACCGUGGCUAAUACCGGAUAGGUGCCGAGGCCGCAUGGUCUUCGGUUGGAAAGUUUUUGCGGUUCUGGAUCGGCUCACGGCCUAUCAGCUUGUUGGUGGGGUAAUGGCCUACCAAGGCGACGACGGGUAGCCGGCCUGAGAGGGUGACCGGCCACACUGGGACUGAGACACGGCCCAGACUCCUACGGGAGGCAGCAGUGGGGAAUAUUGCACAAUGGGCGCAAGCCUGAUGCAGCAACGCCGCGUGGGGGAUGACGGCCUUCGGGUUGUAAACCUCUUUUAGUAGGGAAGAAGCGCAAGUGACGGUACCUGCAGAAAAAGCACCGGCUAACUACGUG